RNAcentral lists this unclassified non-coding RNA (467 nucleotides) under rhizosphere metagenome. RNAcentral's name for it is "partial ribosomal RNA internal transcribed spacer region". The record is from RNAcentral.
GUAGUGAUCAUACUUAUCAGUAUCCUUCAUGAAGCCUUGGAACCCAGUCUAUUGUUGGUGGAGUCAGUGGUUCACUACUCUAUCAACUGUAAAUAGGCGACAUCUCUACUGUGCUUGAAUAUCCUCCAGGGUAACAUGCAGCUGUCAAUUAGUUGACUGUCCACAGAUCAAACAGAGGUGGUCCCGUCGAUUCUCGCUGGAUUGAGAUAUGAUCGGCCUGUUCUUGCAAAAGAAUCAGACCUCGCGUUCCGUAGGUGAACCUGCGGAAGGAUCAUUAAAGAGAACUUGCCCUUCGGGGUAUAUCUCCCACCCUAUGUUUACAUACCUUUGUUGCUUUGGCGGGCCCGUCUCACGACCACCGGCAUUUUCGCUGGUCAGUGCCCGCCAGAGGACCCCAACUCUAAAUUUUAUGUCGUCUGAGUACUAUAUAAUAGUUAAAACUUUCAACAACGGAUCUCUUGGUUCUG